This 1461-nucleotide ribosomal RNA is filed under the name Lacticaseibacillus rhamnosus. Its description in RNAcentral is "bacterial SSU rRNA". It matches the Rfam family "Bacterial small subunit ribosomal RNA". The record is from RNAcentral. Lineage: Bacteria; Bacillati; Bacillota; Bacilli; Lactobacillales; Lactobacillaceae.
CCCGGGGUUAAAAACAGGANNGAACNAGUUCUUGUNUAGAAGAGCNUCCNCUCUGUUUAUAUUUGAACGGCUGNGGGACGGGUGAGUAACCGUGGGUAACCUGCCCUUAAGUGGGGGAUACAUUUGGAAACAGAUGCUAAUUACCGCAUAAAUCCAAGAANCCGCAUGGUUCUUGGCUGAAAGAUGGCGUAAGCUAUCGCUUUUGGAUGGACCCGCGGCGUAUUAGCUAGUUGGUGAGGUAACGGCUCACCAAGGCAAUGAUACGUAGCCGAACUGAGAGGUUGAUCGGCCCCAUUGGGACUGAGACACGGCCCAAACUCCUACGGGAGGCAGCAGUAGGGAAUCUUCCACAAUGGACGCAAGUCUGAUGGAGCAACGCCGCGUGAGUGAAGAAGGCUUUCGGGUCGUAAAACUCUGUUGUUGGAGAAGAAUGGUCGGCAGAGUAACUGUUGUCGGCGUGACGGUAUCCAACCAGAAAGCCACGGCUAACUACGUGCCAGCAGCCGCGGUAAUACGUAGGUGGCAAGCGUUAUCCGGAUUUAUUGGGCGUAAAGCGAGCGCAGGCGGUUUUUUAAGUCUGAUGUGAAAGCCCUCGGCUUAACCGAGGAAGUGCAUCGGAAACUGGGAAACUUGAGUGCAGAAGAGGACAGUGGAACUCCAUGUGUAGCGGUGAAAUGCGUAGAUAUAUGGAAGAACACCAGUGGCGAAGGCGGCUGUCUGGUCUGUAACUGACGCUGAGGCUCGAAAGCAUGGGUAGCGAACAGGAUUAGAUACCCUGGUAGUCCAUGCCGUAAACGAUGAAUGCUAGGUGUUGGAGGGUUUCCGCCCUUCAGUGCCGCAGCUAACGCAUUAAGCAUUCCGCCUGGGGAGUACGACCGCAAGGUUGAAACUCAAAGGAAUUGACGGGGGCCCGCACAAGCGGUGGAGCAUGUGGUUUAAUUCGAAGCAACGCGAAGAACCUUACCAGGUCUUGACAUCUUUUGAUCACCUGAGAGAUCAGGUUUCCCCUUCGGGGGCAAAAUGACAGGUGGUGCAUGGUUGUCGUCAGCUCGUGUCGUGAGAUGUUGGGUUAAGUCCCGCAACGAGCGCAACCCUUAUGACUAGUUGCCAGCAUUUAGUUGGGCACUCUAGUAAGACUGCCGGUGACAAACCGGAGGAAGGUGGGGAUGACGUCAAAUCAUCAUGCCCCUUAUGACCUGGGCUACACACGUGCUACAAUGGAUGGUACAACGAGUUGCGAGACCGCGAGGUCAAGCUAAUCUCUUAAAGCCAUUCUCAGUUCGGACUGUAGGCUGCAACUCGCCUACACGAAGUCGGAAUCGCUAGUAAUCGCGGAUCAGCACGCCGCGGUGAAUACGUUCCCGGGCCUUGUACACACCGCCCGUCACACCAUGAGAGUUUGUAACACCCGAAGCCGGUGGCGUAACCCUUUUAGGGAGCGAGCCGUCUAAGGUGACAACG